UCCUUGCAUCAUGCUCACCUCUCCUUCUAAGUGCCAACUGCAACGAUCGUUGAAGUGCAGGGUCGGCAGGUAAAUUCAACCGGUUACAAUUAUGAUAGGAGCACAUCUCCUCAUAGAAAAGAUGUUUUGAGCUCAAAAUCUUCCGGACAUCAUCCUUCAUCUUCUCAGAGACAUUACUGAUAUGGUCCAAAAGCGCCGGAUUCUCCACAACCCUACUAGAUGUUCCCCUCCCAAGGAUAUCCGUUAGCUUCUUGUAUCUCUUGUUCAGGUCAUUAAACUUA
This 281-nucleotide long non-coding RNA is filed under the name Musa acuminata (dwarf banana). Its description in RNAcentral is "long non-coding RNA (MACU_LNC001428)". Lineage: Eukaryota; Viridiplantae; Streptophyta; Magnoliopsida; Zingiberales; Musaceae. The record is from RNAcentral.